RNAcentral lists this ribosomal RNA (434 nucleotides) under uncultured organism. RNAcentral describes it as "bacterial SSU rRNA". It matches the Rfam family "Bacterial small subunit ribosomal RNA", at positions 346 to 769 of the family's 1533-position model. The record is from RNAcentral.
GUGCAGCAGUCGCGAAUUUUUCUCAAUGGGGGAAACCCUGAAGGAGCGACGCCGCGUGGAGGAUGAAGGCUUUCGGGUUGUAAACUCCUGUCAUUUGGGAACAAGUUGGACGCAGUUACUACGCGUCCACUGAUAGUACCAGAAGAGGAAGAGACGGCUAAACUCUGUUGCCAGCAGCCGCGGUAAUACAGAGGUCUCAAGCGUUGUUCGGAUUCAUUGGGCGUAAAGGGUGCGUAGGUGGCGUCGUAAGUCAGAUGUGAAAUCUCGGGGCUUAACUCCGAAACUGCAUUUGAUACUGCGGUGCUUCGAGGACUGGAGAGGAGACUGGAAUUUACGGGUGUAGCAGUGAAAUGCGUAGAGAUCGUAAGGAAGACCAGUGGCGAAGGCGGGUCUCUGGACAGUUCCUGACACUGAGGCACGAAGGCCAGGGGAGC